AGAGGAGAAGAAUUGUAUUAUUCGAGAAUAAUAGUCAUCGUCCUUUUUACAGUGUGAAGGUCUCCUUUACAUAAUAGGAGACCUUCCUCGAAAUAAUCAAAAAGGUACAAAAGUAGGUAACGUCUUAAACUAUGUCACCUUUGUCUCCACGUCCAAGCCAUACCCUUGCUUUAGUCGACAUACGUUCAAAGGCGUACCUAUCAGCAUAGAGACGUCUAUGAUCAAAUUUGACCCUAUACAUUAUUAUUUCAAAAAAAAAUUUAAAAUAGCAACUGUCGCAUAUAGUAUAUAUCAAAAUUUUAAUAACUGGUCGAUAUUCGAGCGCAUUUAAAACUCAAUUCUCUUUAAAAGAAACAUAAUCAAUCAAUAUCACAAAUAAACUAGGCUUCAGUUCCAAAAUAGUUUUUGAUUGCAUAUGAUUAUUUGUAUUCGUUCUACUCUAUCCAUGUAAAAAGGAAAGUUCAUUUGUUAGCAAUUACUCAAGUUAAAGCUCAGUCUACUGAUUCAAGUCGUAAAUCAACUGAUGUAGAUUACAGAAAGACGGAUAAAUUAGAAUAGGAUGUAAGAAGUAAUCUGAAAAAUAAGUAUGCCAUGAUUACAACUUCUUAGAUUUUCAACAAAAAAAAAAGCAUAUGCCAAAGGGAGUGUUUGGUAUGAAAAAG
RNAcentral lists this long non-coding RNA (662 nucleotides) under Nicotiana benthamiana. RNAcentral's name for it is "long non-coding RNA (NBEN_LNC014202)". Lineage: Eukaryota; Viridiplantae; Streptophyta; Magnoliopsida; Solanales; Solanaceae. The record is from RNAcentral.